Molecule: ribosomal RNA, 253 nt
Filed under: uncultured bacterium
Lineage: Bacteria
Description: partial 16S ribosomal RNA
Rfam family: Bacterial small subunit ribosomal RNA
Source: RNAcentral
UACGGAGGGGGCGAGCGUUAUUCGGAAUUAUUGGGCGUAAAGCGCGUGUAGGCGGCUUUGCAAGUCGGGUGUGAAAUCCCUCGGCUCAACCGAGGAAGUGCGCCCGAAACUGCAGAGCUUGAGUACUGGAGAGGAUGGUGGAAUUCCCCAAGUAGAGGUGAAAUUCGUAGAUAUGGGGAGGAACACCGGUGGCGAAGGCGACCAUCUGGACAGAUACUGACGCUGAGACGCGAAAGCGUGGGGAGCAAACAGG